RNAcentral lists this ribosomal RNA (380 nucleotides) under uncultured eukaryote. RNAcentral's name for it is "partial 18S ribosomal RNA". It matches the Rfam family "Eukaryotic small subunit ribosomal RNA", at positions 592 to 976 of the family's 1831-position model. The record is from RNAcentral.
CAAUAGCGUAUAUUAAAGUUGUUGCAGUUAGAACGCUCGUAGUCGGAUUUCGGGGCAGUCCGACCGGUCUGCCGAUGGGUGUGCACUGGCCGGAGUGUCCUUUUUGCCGGAGACCGUGCCUACUCUUAACUGAGCGGGGGCGGGAGACGGCACUUUUACUUUGAAAAAAUCAGAGUGUUUCAAGCAGGCAGCUCGCUCUUGCAUGGAUUAGCAUGGGAUAAUGAAAUAGGACUUUGGUGCUAUUUUGUUGGUUUCGAACACCGAAGUAAUGAUGAGAAGGGACAGUCAGGGGCACUCGUAUUCCGCAGAGAGAGGUGAAAUUCUCAGACCCGCGGAAGACGAACCACUGCGAAAGCAUUUGCCAGGGAUGUUUUCACUGA